AUUGAACGCUGGCGGCGUGCUUAACACAUGCAAGUCGAUCGGUAACAGGUGUAGCAAUACAUGCUGACGAGAGGCGGACGGGUGAGUAAUGCUUGGGAAUCUGCCUAUUAGUGGGGGACAACCCGGGGAAACUCGGGCUAAUACCGCAUACGCUCUACGGAGGAAAGCCGGGGACCGCAAGGCCUGGCGCUAAUAGAUGAGCCCAAGUCGGAUUAGCUAGUUGGUAGGGUAACGGCCUACCAAGGCGACAAUCCGUAGCUGGUCUGAGAGGACGACCAGCCACACCGGAACUGAGACACGGUCCGGACUCCUACGGGAGGCAGCAGUGGGGAAUAUUGGACAAUGGGGGCAACCCUGAUCCAGCGACGCCGCGUGGGUGAAGAAGGCCUGCGGGUUGUAAAGCCCUUUCGGGUGGGGAAGAAAAGUCUCGACCUAAUACGUCGGGACCUUGACGUAACCCACUAAAGAAGCACCGGCUAACUCUGUGCCAGCCGCCGCGGUAA
RNAcentral lists this ribosomal RNA (503 nucleotides) under uncultured bacterium. Its description in RNAcentral is "bacterial SSU rRNA". It matches the Rfam family "Bacterial small subunit ribosomal RNA", at positions 29 to 523 of the family's 1533-position model. The record is from RNAcentral.